GGUUAAGCGACUAAGCGUACACGGUGGAUGCCCUGGCAGUCAGAGGCGAUGAAGGACGUGCUAAUCUGCGAUAAGCGUCGGUAAGGUGAUAUGAACCGUUAUAACCGGCGAUUUCCGAAUGGGGAAACCCAGUGUGUUUCGACACACUAUCAUUAACUGAAUCCAUAGGUUAAUGAGGCGAACCGGGGGAACUGAAACAUCUAAGUACCCCGAGGAAAAGAAAUCAACCGAGAUUCCCCCAGUAGCGGCGAGCGAACGGGGAGCAGCCCAGAGCCUGAAUCAGUGUGUGUGUUAGUGGAAGCGUCUGGAAAGGCGCGCGAUACAGGGUGACAGCCCCGUACACAAAAAUGCACAUGCUGUGAGCUCGAUGAGUAGGGCGGGACACGUGGUAUCCUGUCUGAAUAUGGGGGGACCAUCCUCCAAGGCUAAAUACUCCUGACUGACCGAUAGUGAACCAGUACCGUGAGGGAAAGGCGAAAAGAACCCCGGCGAGGGGAGUGAAAAAGAACCUGAAACCGUGUACGUACAAGCAGUGGGAGCACAGAGCAAUCUGUGUGACUGCGUACCUUUUGUAUAAUGGGUCAGCGACUUAUAUUCUGUAGCAAGGUUAACCGAAUAGGGGAGCCGAAGGGAAACCGAGUCUUAACUGGGCGUUAAGUUGCAGGGUAUAGACCCGAAACCCGGUGAUCUAGCCAUGGGCAGGUUGAAGGUUGGGUAACACUAACUGGAGGACCGAACCGACUAAUGUUGAAAAAUUAGCGGAUGACUUGUGGCUGGGGGUGAAAGGCCAAUCAAACCGGGAGAUAGCUGGUUCUCCCCGAAAGCUAUUUAGGUAGCGCCUCGUGAAUUCAUCUCCGGGGGUAGAGCACUGUUUCGGCAAGGGGGUCAUCCCGACUUACCAACCCGAUGCAAACUGCGAAUACCGGAGAAUGUUAUCACGGGAGACACACGGCGGGUGCUAACGUCCGUCGUGAAGAGGGAAACAACCCAGACCGCCAGCUAAGGUCCCAAAGUCAUGGUUAAGUGGGAAACGAUGUGGGAAGGCCCAGACAGCCAGGAUGUUGGCUUAGAAGCAGCCAUCAUUUAAAGAAAGCGUAAUAGCUCACUGGUCGAGUCGGCCUGCGCGGAAGAUGUAACGGGGCUAAACCAUGCACCGAAGCUGCGGCAGCGACGCUUAUGCGUUGUUGGGUAGGGGAGCGUUCUGUAAGCCUGUGAAGGUGUGCUGUGAGGCAUGCUGGAGGUAUCAGAAGUGCGAAUGCUGACAUAAGUAACGAUAAAGCGGGUGAAAAGCCCGCUCGCCGGAAGACCAAGGGUUCCUGUCCAACGUUAAUCGGGGCAGGGUGAGUCGACCCCUAAGGCGAGGCCGAAAGGCGUAGUCGAUGGGAAACAGGUUAAUAUUCCUGUACUUGGUGUUACUGCGAAGGGGGACGGAGAAGGCUAUGUUGGCCGGGCGACGGUUGUCCCGGUUUAAGCGUGUAGGCUGGUUUUCCAGGCAAAUCCGGAAAAUCAAGGCUGAGGCGUGAUGACGAGGCACUACGGUGCUGAAGCAACAAAUGCCCUGCUUCCAGGAAAAGCCUCUAAGCAUCAGGUAACAUCAAAUCGUACCCCAAACCGACACAGGUGGUCAGGUAGAGAAUACCAAGGCGCUUGAGAGAACUCGGGUGAAGGAACUAGGCAAAAUGGUGCCGUAACUUCGGGAGAAGGCACGCUGAUAUGUAGGUGAGGUCCCUCGCGGAUGGAGCUGAAAUCAGUCGAAGAUACCAGCUGGCUGCAACUGUUUAUUAAAAACACAGCACUGUGCAAACACGAAAGUGGACGUAUACGGUGUGACGCCUGCCCGGUGCCGGAAGGUUAAUUGAUGGGGUUAGCGGUAACGCGAAGCUCUUGAUCGAAGCCCCGGUAAACGGCGGCCGUAACUAUAACGGUCCUAAGGUAGCGAAAUUCCUUGUCGGGUAAGUUCCGACCUGCACGAAUGGCGUAAUGAUGGCCAGGCUGUCUCCACCCGAGACUCAGUGAAAUUGAACUCGCUGUGAAGAUGCAGUGUACCCGCGGCAAGACGGAAAGACCCCGUGAACCUUUACUAUAGCUUGACACUGAACAUUGAGCCUUGAUGUGUAGGAUAGGUGGGAGGCUUUGAAGUGUGGACGCCAGUCUGCAUGGAGCCGGCCUUGAAAUACCACCCUUUAAUGUUUGAUGUUCUAACGUUGGCCCCUGAUCGGGGUUGCGGACAGUGUCUGGUGGGUAGUUUGACUGGGGCGGUCUCCUCCUAAAGAGUAACGGAGGAGCACGAAGGUUGGCUAAUCCUGGUCGGACAUCAGGAGGUUAGUGCAAUGGCAUAAGCCAGCUUGACUGCGAGCGUGACGGCGCGAGCAGGUGCGAAAGCAGGUCAUAGUGAUCCGGUGGUUCUGAAUGGAAGGGCCAUCGCUCAACGGAUAAAAGGUACUCCGGGGAUAACAGGCUGAUACCGCCCAAGAGUUCAUAUCGACGGCGGUGUUUGGCACCUCGAUGUCGGCUCAUCACAUCCUGGGGCUGAAGUAGGUCCCAAGGGUAUGGCUGUUCGCCAUUUAAAGUGGUACGCGAGCUGGGUUUAGAACGUCGUGAGACAGUUCGGUCCCUAUCUGCCGUGGGCGCUGGAGAACUGAGGGGGCUGCUCCUAGUACGAGAGGACCGGAGUGGACGCAUCACUGGUGUUCGGGUUGUCAUGCCAAUGGCACUGCCCGGUAGCUAAAUGCGGAAGAGAUAAGUGCUGAAAGCAUCUAAGCACGAAACUUGCCCCGAGAUGAGUUCUCCCUGACUCCUUGAGAGUCCUGAAGGAACGUUGAAGACGACGACGUUGAUAGGCCGGGUGUGUAAGCGCAGCGAUGCGUUGAGCUAACCGGUACUAAUGAACCGUGAGGCUUAACCUU
RNAcentral lists this ribosomal RNA (2906 nucleotides) under Escherichia coli. RNAcentral's name for it is "23S ribosomal RNA". It matches the Rfam family "Bacterial large subunit ribosomal RNA". The record is from RNAcentral. Lineage: Bacteria; Pseudomonadati; Pseudomonadota; Gammaproteobacteria; Enterobacterales; Enterobacteriaceae.